GAUGAACGCUGGCGGCGUGCCUAAUACAUGCAAGUCGAGCGAAAACACGCCGACCUUGCCUCUCUGACGUCAACGGCGGACGGGUGAGAAACACACGGACCACCUACCUAUAAGUCUGGCAUCACUUCGGGAACUCGGACCUCAUAUCGGCUAAUAUAUUGAACGGCAUGGCUCACUACUAAAAGUCGCCUCUGCCCUCACUAACAGCUGGUUUCGCGCCGCAUUAGCUAGUUGGUAAGGUAACGGCUUACCAAGGCAACGAUGCGUAGCCGACCUGAGAGGGUGAUCGGCCACACUGGAACUGAGACACGGUCCAGACUCCUACGGGAGGCAGCAGUAGGGAAUCUUCCGCAAUGGGCGAAAGCCUGACGGAGCAACGCCGCGUGAGUGAUGAAGGUCUUCGGAUCGUAAAACUCUGUUAUUAGGGAAGAACAAAUGUGUAAGUAACUAUGCACGUCUUGACGGUACCUAAUCAGAAAGCCACGGCUAACUACGUG
This 497-nucleotide ribosomal RNA is filed under the name uncultured bacterium. Its description in RNAcentral is "partial 16S ribosomal RNA". It matches the Rfam family "Bacterial small subunit ribosomal RNA", at positions 28 to 507 of the family's 1533-position model. The record is from RNAcentral.